CCCUACGGGACGCAGCAGUGGGGGAUAUUGCACAAUGGGGGGAACCCUGAUGCAGCGACGCCGCGUGGGUGAAGAAGCGCCUCGGCGCGUAAAGCCCUGUCAGCAGGGAAGAAAAUGACAGUACCUGAAGAAGAAGCCCCGGCUAACUACGUGCCCGCAGCCGCGGUAAUACGUAGGGGGCAAGCGUUAUCCGGAUUUACUGGGUGUAAAGGGGGCGCAGACGGCGAUGCAAGCCAGGAGUGAAAGCCCGAGGCCCAACCCCGGGACUGCUCUUGGAACUGCGUGGCUGGAGUGCAGGCGGGGCG
RNAcentral lists this ribosomal RNA (305 nucleotides) under uncultured bacterium. RNAcentral's name for it is "bacterial SSU rRNA". It matches the Rfam family "Bacterial small subunit ribosomal RNA", at positions 337 to 659 of the family's 1533-position model. The record is from RNAcentral.